RNAcentral lists this ribosomal RNA (497 nucleotides) under uncultured bacterium. RNAcentral's name for it is "partial 16S ribosomal RNA". It matches the Rfam family "Bacterial small subunit ribosomal RNA", at positions 28 to 507 of the family's 1533-position model. The record is from RNAcentral.
GACGAACGCUGGCGGCGUGCCUAAUACAUGCAAGUUGAGCGCUGAAGGUUGGUACUUGUACCAACUGGAUGAGCAGCGAACGGGUGAGUAACGCGUGGGGAAUCUGCCUUUGAGCGGGGGACAACAUUUGGAAACGAAUGCUAAUACCGCAUAAAAACUUUAAACACAAGUUUUAAGUUUGAAAGAUGCAAUUGCAUCACUCAAAGAUGAUCCCGCGUUGUAUUAGCUAGUUGGUGAGGUAAAGGCUCACCAAGGCGAUGAUACAUAGCCGACCUGAGAGGGUGAUCGGCCGCAUUGGGACGGAGACACGGCCCAAACUCCUACGGGAGGCAGCAGUAGGGAAUCUUCGGCAAUGGGCGAAAGUCUGACCGAGCAACGCCGCGUGAGUGAAGAAGGUUGUCGGAUCGUAAAACUCUGUUGGUAGAGAAGAACGUUGGUGAGAGUGGAAAGCUCAUCAAGUGACGGUAACUACCCAGAAAGGGACGGCUAACUACGUG